CUGUUGGGGCACAAGGCUGCGGGCUCGUCCCCGCCUUUCGAGUCGGCCGGGACCCUUGUCCGGCGGGCGGGCACACUGAGGGAAAAGCCGCUGAGGCCGAGAAAGCCCUUGCAGAGAAGUUGACCCCCGGCCGCAGUUCACGCCACAGCUAGGAUUGGGGCAGGAGUAAGCUGCCCACCCCAGCGCUUUCAGAGCUGCAGUGUCCAAGAGAUAGUUCUCAGGCAGCUGCUAGAGGGUGAUGCCAGCUAAGCGCCCUGAAAAAGAGAAUAUGAUUGGGCAUGAGAGCACAAACAGACCAGAGUGGAUGCUAGCAGUUGGAAGUUAGCGGCAAGAAGUGAGAAGGCUGCCUGGUGCCCAGGAAAGGGGGGCUGGUUCCAGACAUAAGGGGC
This is a long non-coding RNA of Mauremys reevesii (Reeves's turtle), 389 nucleotides long. RefSeq lists it as uncharacterized. The transcript has 3 exons. NCBI's taxonomy places the organism in Eukaryota, Metazoa, Chordata, Testudines, Geoemydidae. The record is from RefSeq and is a predicted model, not a curated record.